GUGGGGAAUAUUGGACAAUGGGCGAAAGCCUGAUCCAGCAAUGCCGCGUGAGUGAUGAAGGCCUUAGGGUUGUAAAGCUCUUUUACCAGGGAUGAUAAUGACAGUACCUGGAGAAUAAGCUCCGGCUAACUCCGUGCCAGCAGCCGCGGUAAUACGGAGGGAGCUAGCGUUGUUCGGAAUUACUGGGCGUAAAGCGCGCGUAGGCGGCGAUUUAAGUCAGAGGUGAAAGCCCGGGGCUCAACCCCGGAAUAGCCUUUGAGACUGGAUUGCUAGAAUCCUGGAGAGGUGAGUGGAAUUCCGAGUGUAGAGGUGAAAUUCGUAGAUAUUCGGAAGAACACCAGUGGCGAAGGCGGCUCACUGGACAGGUAUUGACGCUGAGGUGCGAAAGCGUGGGGAGCAAACAGGAUUAGAAACCCUAGUAGUCC
RNAcentral lists this ribosomal RNA (425 nucleotides) under uncultured bacterium. Its description in RNAcentral is "partial 16S ribosomal RNA". It matches the Rfam family "Bacterial small subunit ribosomal RNA", at positions 354 to 796 of the family's 1533-position model. The record is from RNAcentral.